RNAcentral lists this ribosomal RNA (305 nucleotides) under uncultured bacterium. RNAcentral's name for it is "bacterial SSU rRNA". It matches the Rfam family "Bacterial small subunit ribosomal RNA", at positions 333 to 655 of the family's 1533-position model. The record is from RNAcentral.
UACCACCUACGGGACGCAGCAGUGAGGGAUAUUGGUCAAUGGGGGAAACCCUGAACCAGCAACGCCGCGUGAGGGAAGACGGUUUUCGGAUUGUAAACCUCUGUCCUCUGUGAAGAUAAUGACGGUAGCAGAGGAGGAAGCUCCGGCUAACUACGUGCCAGCAGCCGCGGUAAUACGUAGGGAGCAAGCGUUGUCCGGAUUUACUGGGUGUAAAGGGCGUGCAGCCGGGAAGACAAGUCAGAUGUGAAAUCCCGCGGCUCAACCGCGGAACUGCAUUUGAAACUGUUUUUCUUGAGUACCGGAGG